RNAcentral lists this ribosomal RNA (200 nucleotides) under uncultured bacterium. RNAcentral's name for it is "partial 16S ribosomal RNA". It matches the Rfam family "Bacterial small subunit ribosomal RNA", at positions 28 to 227 of the family's 1533-position model. The record is from RNAcentral.
GAUGAACGCUAGCGGCAGGCUUAACACAUGCAAGUCGAGGGGCAGCACGGACUUCGGUCUGGUGGCGACCGGCAAACGGGUGCGGAACACGUACGCAACAUACCCCUAUCUGGAGAUAGCCUUCUGAAAAGGAGAUUAAUACCCCAUAGUAUAGUUACCAGGCAUCUGGUUGAUUAUUAAAGAUUUAUUGGAUAGGGAUU